This 406-nucleotide ribosomal RNA is filed under the name uncultured bacterium. RNAcentral describes it as "partial 16S ribosomal RNA". It matches the Rfam family "Bacterial small subunit ribosomal RNA", at positions 29 to 526 of the family's 1533-position model. The record is from RNAcentral.
AUUGAACGCUGGCGGCAGGCUUAACACAUGCAAGUCGAGCGAGCGGCGGACGGGUGAGUAAUGUCUGGGAAACUGCCUGAUGGAGGGGGAUAACUACUGGAAACGGUAGCUAAUACCGCAUACCAUCAGCGGUGCCCAGAUGGGAUUAGCUAGUAGGUGGGGUAAUGGCUCACCUAGGCGACGAUCCCUAGCUGGUCUGAGAGGAUGACCAGCCACACUGGAACUGAGACACGGUCCAGAUUCCGACGGGAGGCAACAGGGGGGAAUAUUGCACAUUGGGCGCAAGCCAGAUGCAGCCAUGCCGCGUGUGUGAAGAAGGCCUUCGGGGUGGAAAGCACUUUCAGCGAGGAGGAGUUACUCGCAGAAGAAGCACCGGCUAACUCCGUGCCAGCAGCCGCGGUAAUAC